RNAcentral lists this long non-coding RNA (274 nucleotides) under Theropithecus gelada (gelada). RNAcentral describes it as "lncRNA (ENSTGEG00000000106.1)". Lineage: Eukaryota; Metazoa; Chordata; Mammalia; Primates; Cercopithecidae. The record is from RNAcentral.
GUUCCGGCCGCGAUCUGCUGCAGCUCGGCCGGGAGACAGCGCGACCCGGCGGCGGGGCCACCCGCGAGUCCAGCGUCGCCGCAGCCCCCCAAUGCGGCCGCGAGAAGCAGCGGGGGGGCAGGCGAUCGAAGCAGCCUCUAGAAGACCAGCGUUCUCGUGAUUAUGGAGGCCCCUCUGUCCUUUCUGUGACGGGAGCAAUGCCGACCUCAGUUUCCCGGACCCAUUCCGACUCAGGUAAUUACACUGCCUUCCCCAGUUCGCCAUGCCUUACGUA